UCACGCCUGGCCGAGGUGCCGGGGCUGCGCCUGUUGGGCGCGCCGGCGCACCAGGUGCCGGUCUUGUCGUUCGUGCUCGACGGCGUGCACC
This 91-nucleotide transfer RNA is filed under the name compost metagenome. Its description in RNAcentral is "tRNA-Asn". The record is from RNAcentral.